This is a long non-coding RNA of Thalassophryne amazonica, 163 nucleotides long. RefSeq lists it as uncharacterized. NCBI's taxonomy places the organism in Eukaryota, Metazoa, Chordata, Actinopteri, Batrachoidiformes, Batrachoididae. The transcript has 3 exons. The record is from RefSeq and is a predicted model, not a curated record.
AGAUACACCUGGCCAGAAUCAUACGCCGUAGCUAUGUGGGCGUGGAGCUGGUGCAGUGGCUGUGUGAGCAGUGCAUGUAUGUGCGCUGUCGGACCACUGCUGUGCGCGUCUGGCAGGUGCUGCUGGAGCUGGGAGUCCUGCUGUCUGUGGACCAGCGUGUGGU